AGCGAACGCUGGCGGUAGGCCUAACACAUGCAAGUCGAACGGCAGCACAGUAAGAGCUUGCUCUUACGGGUGGCGAGUGGCGGACGGGUGAGGAAUACAUCGGAAUCUACUCUUUCGUGGGGGAUAACGUAGGGAAACUUACGCUAAUACCGCAUACGACCUACGGGUGAAAGCAGGGGAUCUUCGGACCUUGCGCGAUUGAAUGAGCCGAUGUCGGAUUAGCUAGUUGGCGGGGUAAAGGCCCACCAAGGCGACGAUCCGUAGCUGGUCUGAGAGGAUGAUCAGCCACACUGGAACUGAACCACGGUCCAGACUCCUACGGGAGGCAGCAGUGGGGAAUGUUGGACAAUGGGCGCGAGCCUGGUCCAGCCAUACCGCGUGGGUGAAGGAGGCCUUCGGGUUGUAAAGCCCUUUUGUUGGGAAAGAAAAGCAGCAGGUUAAUACCCCGCUGUUCUGACGGUACCCAAAGAAUAAGCACCGGCUAACUUCGUG
RNAcentral lists this ribosomal RNA (492 nucleotides) under uncultured bacterium. Its description in RNAcentral is "partial 16S ribosomal RNA". It matches the Rfam family "Bacterial small subunit ribosomal RNA", at positions 29 to 507 of the family's 1533-position model. The record is from RNAcentral.